This 478-nucleotide ribosomal RNA is filed under the name Myriophora harwoodi. RNAcentral describes it as "partial 16S ribosomal RNA". Lineage: Eukaryota; Metazoa; Arthropoda; Insecta; Diptera; Phoridae. The record is from RNAcentral.
UGUCUUUUUGAAAUUAAUUUAAAGUCUAGCCUGCCCACUGAAUUUUUUUAAAUGGCCGCAGUAUCCUAACUGUGCAAAGGUAGCAUAAUCAUUAGUCUUUUAAUUGAAGGCUGGAAUGAAUGGUUGGAUGAAAUAUUAACUGUUUCAUAAAAAUUUAUAAUAGAAUUUUAUUUUUUAGUCAAAAAGCUAAAAUUUAAUUAAAAGACGAGAAGACCCUAUAAAUCUUUAUAUUUAGAAAAUUACAAUCAUUUAGAUAAUUUAGAUUUUUAUUUUUUUAAAUAUUUUAUUGGGGUGAUAUUAAAAUUUAAUAAACUUUUAAUUUAUAAUUAACAUAAAUUAAUGAAUUAUUGAUCCAUUUAUUAUGAUUAAAAAAUUAAGUUACUUUAGGGAUAACAGCGUAAUUUUUUUAGAGAGUUCAUAUUGAUAAAAAAGAUUGCGACCUCGAUGUUGGAUUAAGAUACAGUUUUAGGUGCAGCAG